AGCCGAAACAGUGGAUUACAAUCCGCUGUCCGCCGGAAGUGGUCGUCCGACGCUGAUGAGGCAGACCAAA
RNAcentral lists this non-coding RNA (70 nucleotides) under Ruminococcus sp. Lineage: Bacteria; Bacillati; Bacillota; Clostridia; Eubacteriales; Oscillospiraceae. The record is from RNAcentral.